RNAcentral lists this long non-coding RNA (541 nucleotides) under Mytilus galloprovincialis (Mediterranean mussel). The record is from RNAcentral. Lineage: Eukaryota; Metazoa; Mollusca; Bivalvia; Mytilida; Mytilidae.
CGUACGAACAUAUCAAAUUAGAACAAUUCUUAAUAUGACAAAAAGGAAAACAUAUGGCCAGGAAUAUCUGACAAGGAUUUCAAUUAAGGACUAUAGCUAGGUCCUUACAACCAGUUAACCCCAGGGGGGUUACUUCCUAUAUUUUUAGUGGUAUGAGUGUGCCGCAAUACAGGGUCCCUUUUUCAUGCCCUGCUGGUUAGAACAGGGUCCCUUUUUCAUGUCCUGCUGGUUAGAACAGGGUCGCUUUUCCAUGCCUUGCUGGUGAGAACAGGUUCUUUUUUUAAACAAAAGUAUUUGUCUAGUACAGGAUCACUUAUUUAACUGUUUAAGAUACAGUCUACAACCCGGGUCUAGAACAGCAUCUAUUUUAUACGGUCUACAACAGGGUAUACAUUUUCUGAGCGUGUCUAGAACAGGGUAUGUUUUUCAAUAUUUCUGUGUAGAACAGGGUAUGUUUUUCAUUGUUUUCUGGUUAGAACAGGGUACGAUUUGGCAAGUGCUGUCGGCACAGUCAUACCUAAAAGGAUAGUCAGUAACCCCC